CAACUCCAUUGCUCUGGGCCUGAAUGAUUCUGUCGAGAUGUGAAAAAGAAGUAAGCAUGAUUCAUCUUCAUCCCAGGCACGCUGUUCCGUUUUCUUUUUCAUUUCCUGGCUCUAAUUCCAACCUCCUCCUCGGGCUGCAGGAGCAGGGCCGCGCAGCCACUCGGCCGAGGCCUCCAGGCGGGGACCCAGGCGCGGCCAGGGCGCAGGCCCCUCUGAGGCCGGUCUUCCUCUGUCAGGAGCUCCCGAGUCUAGGCAGAGUUGCUUCCUGGGGGUCGCAGGACUGAGACCUGCUGGCCUCUCCUCGGCCCGCAGCCGUGGACAGGGCCACGUCCUCCGCACGUCCCCCGCCGCUCCUGCACACCCCCUUGUUCAUUUAUUUAUACAUGGUGCUGAGAAUCAAACCCAGUGCCUCGCACAUGCUAGGCAAGUGCUGUACCACUGAACUACAGCCCCAGCCCGAGAAUUUUAAUAUUUAUUUUUUUUUUAGUUUUCGGCGGACAACAUCUUUGUUUGUAUGUGGUGCUGAGGAUUGAACCUGGGCCGCACGCAUGCCAGGCGAGGCUAGCGUGCUACCGCUUGAGCCACAUCCCCAGCCCUAUUUUUGUUUAUUUUUAUGUGGCACUGAGGAUCGAACCCAGGGCCUCACGCAUGCAAGGCAAGCGCUCCACCGCUGAACCACAACCCCUGGCCCCUUUUUAUAUUUUGAGACAGAGUUCAAGGCCAGGCUGGCCUUGAACUUCUGAUCCUCCCUACUUCAGCCUAUAUAGCUGUGAUACAGGUGCACCACCAUGCCUGGCUUCAAAUAGGUAUUUCUUCACUUGAAAGAUCUAAAACAACUGGUGAUUGUUCCCUCAGAUCUGCUUUUCUCCUAUUCCUCAUUUUAGUAAAGGGCAACUCCAUUCUUCCAGUGAUGCAAGCUAAAAACCUUGGAGGUAGUUUUGGCCCUUUCCUGUCACACUGUCAGCAGACCCUCCUGUCUAUACCUUUAGACUAUAUCUCCAAGUCAACUGUCUUCUCACUUUUACAACUAUACCAUACAAGCCACAUCACCUCUCUCUUGCAAAUAUCCUUUACCUGAUCUCCUUUCUCUACCCUUACCUCCCCCUGACCAGCCUCCACACUGCAGCCAGAGUGAGAUUUUCAGACCUAAAUUGGCUUACAUUACUUUGGGCUCCAAAGCCUCCAUGGUUUUCAUUCUCACUCAAGGAGAAAUCCAAAGUCUUUGCCAAGGUAUAUAAGGCUCCUUAUGACCUGGCUCUUGAUUCCCUCUCUUAUCUUUGUCUUAUUAUUCUCUCUUUUUCGCUUACCCAGCUUGAGCCACAUUGGUUGUCUUGCUAUUCCUCCCACAACCCAGCAUGCUCCUGCCUCAGGGCCUUUGCACUCUCCAGUUCCUCUGCCUGUUAUACUCUUUCCAGAUAGCCACAGGGCUUAAUCCUCGCUUCAAUAGAAAAGGUUUCUCUGGCCACCAAAUUUAAAAUAUCACAUUCCUGCCCUGUCCCUUUUUCCUGGUUUAUUUUUCUUCUUAGCAUUCAGUGCCUUGGACAUAUUAUAUCUGUUUAUAGUCUGCCUUCCCUAUUAGAAUGCAGGAUUGUCUCCAGCUCCCAGCAUAGAAGGGGGGCUGGGAAUAUAGCUCAGUUGGUAGAGUGCUUGCCUCGCAUGUACAAGGCCCUGGGUUCAAUCCCCAGCACCACACACACAAAAUAAUAAUAAUAAUAAUGAUAAUAAUAAUAAUAAUAAUAAUAAUAAUAAUAAUAAACAACUGUUGUUGUUUUAGAUUUAUAGAAAAACUGAGGAAAGUCCAGGAAUAGUGGUGCACAACUAUAAUUCCAGCUACCCGAAAGGCUGAGGCAGGAGAAUGACAAGUUUGAGGUCAAGUUAGUGAGACCUUGUCUCAAAAUAAAAAGGAUUCAGUGGUAAAGCAAUCCCUGGAUUCAAUCCCAGUAAGAAAAAAAAAAAAAAGAAAGUGACAGAUUUCCCAUAUUGCCCCUGUCCUUACACAUGCCCAGCUUCCCCUGUUAUCGACAUCUCCCACUGGAGUCAUGUAUUUGUUACAACUGAUGAACCUACACUGACACAUCAUUAUCAUCCAAAGUCUCUAGUUGACAUUAGGGUUCACUCUUGGCAUUGUACAUUCUAUGGGUAUCAUUAUAGUAAAAUACAGAAUAUUUUCACUGCUCUAAAAAUCAUCUAUGUUCUGCUGCCUAUUCAUUCCCCACUGUUAGCAGUCACUGUAGCCUCCCUUCCUGCCCCCAUGCUGGGUGUUGAAUCCAGGACCUUGUGUGUGCUAGGCAAGCACUCUAUUACUGAGCUGUAUCCCCAGCCCUGCAACCUUUUCAGAUUGGCUUCUUUCACUUAGUAAUAUGCACUUAAGUUUCUUCCAUGUGUUCUCAUGGUUUUUCAUUUCUUUUAGCAGCAAAUAAUAUUCUAUUGUUUCCAUGUACCAUGGUAUAUUUAGUCACUCACCUUACAAAGGACAUCUUGAUUGCUUCCAAGUUUUGGCAAUUAUGAAUAAAACUGCUAUAAACAUCCAUGUGUAUGUGGUUGGGUGGACAUAUGUUUUCAUCUCCUUUGUAUAAAUAACAAGGAGCAUGAUUUCUAGAUCAUAUGUCUAGGUUUUUAAGAAGCCACCAAACUGUCUUCUAAAAGAGGCUGUACCAGCAAUUGUGUAUUCGUACCAUCAGUGAAUAAAAGUUUUUUGUGUUCCACACUCUCACCAGCUUUUGGUGGUAUUGGUGUUAUCAGGUUUCAAGAUUUUGGCUAUACUAAUAGGUUUGUAGUAAUAUUUCAUUGUUUUAAUUUGCAUUUUUCUGAUGAAUAUGAUGUGGAGCAUUUUGUGGGGUGGGC
This 2844-nucleotide long non-coding RNA is filed under the name Marmota monax (woodchuck). The stretch from base 1621 to 1690 matches the Rfam family "tRNA". Lineage: Eukaryota; Metazoa; Chordata; Mammalia; Rodentia; Sciuridae. The record is from RNAcentral.